This 490-nucleotide ribosomal RNA is filed under the name uncultured bacterium. RNAcentral's name for it is "partial 16S ribosomal RNA". It matches the Rfam family "Bacterial small subunit ribosomal RNA", at positions 30 to 507 of the family's 1533-position model. The record is from RNAcentral.
AUUGAACGCUGGCGGCAGGCCUAACACAUGCAAGUCGAACGGUAACAGGAAGAAGCUUGCUUCUUUGCUGACGAGUGGCGGACGGGUGAGUAAUGUCUGGGAAACUGCCUGAUGGAGGGGGAUAACUACUGGAAACGGUAGCUAAUACCGCAUAAUGUCGCAAGACCAAAGAGGGGGACCUUCGGGCCUCUUGCCAUCGGAUGAGCCCAGAUGGGAUUAGCUAGUAGGUGGGGUAACGGCUCACCUAGGCGACGAUCCCUAGCUGGUCUGAGAGGAUGACCAGCCACACUGGAACUGAGACACGGUCCAGACUCCUACGGGAGGCAGCAGUGGGGAAUAUUGCACAAUGGGCGCAAGCCUGAUGCAGCUAUGCCGCGUGUAUGAAGAAGGCCUUCGGGUUGUAAAGUACUUUCAGCGGGGAGGAAGGGAGUAAAGUUAAUACCUUUGCUCAUUGACGUUACCCGCAGAAGAAGCACCGGCUAACUCCGUG